CAGUCGCCACGGGAAUACGGAGGGUGCAAGCGUUAAUCGGAAUUACUGGGCGUAAAGCGCACGCAGGCGGUUUGUUAAGUCAGAUGUGAAAUCCCCGGGCUCAACCUGGGAACUGCAUUUGAAACUGGCAAGCUAGAGUCUCGUAGAGGGGGGUAGAAUUCCAGGUGUAGCGGUGAAAUGCGUAGAGAUCUGGAGGAAUACCGGUGGCGAAGGCGGCCCCCUGGACGAAGACUGACGCUCAGGUGCGAAAGCGUGGGGAGCAAACAGGAUUAGAUACCCCAGUAGUCCCUGUCUCUUAUAC
RNAcentral lists this ribosomal RNA (301 nucleotides) under uncultured bacterium. RNAcentral describes it as "partial 16S ribosomal RNA". It matches the Rfam family "Bacterial small subunit ribosomal RNA", at positions 509 to 807 of the family's 1533-position model. The record is from RNAcentral.